GCCCCUGUAGUUUUAGCCUGGUUAAAACAGGCCCUUGGUAAGGGUCAGUCAGGAGUUCGAAUCUCCUCGGGGGCACCA
RNAcentral lists this transfer RNA (78 nucleotides) under Candidatus Pelagibacter sp. RNAcentral's name for it is "tRNA-Thr". It matches the Rfam family "tRNA". From Rfam's summary of the family: Transfer RNA (tRNA) molecules are approximately 80 nucleotides in length. Their secondary structure includes four short double-helical elements and three loops (D, anti-codon, and T loops). Further hydrogen bonds mediate the characteristic L-shaped molecular structure. tRNAs have two regions of fundamental functional importance: the anti-codon, which is responsible for specific mRNA codon recognition, and the 3' end, to which the tRNAs corresponding amino acid is attached (by aminoacyl-tRNA synthetases). tRNAs cope with the degeneracy of the genetic code in two manners: having more than one tRNA (with a specific anti-codon) for a particular amino acid; and 'wobble' base-pairing, i.e. permitting non-standard base-pairing at the 3rd anti-codon position. The record is from RNAcentral. Lineage: Bacteria; Pseudomonadati; Pseudomonadota; Alphaproteobacteria; Candidatus Pelagibacterales; Candidatus Pelagibacteraceae.